This 355-nucleotide ribosomal RNA is filed under the name uncultured bacterium. Its description in RNAcentral is "bacterial SSU rRNA". It matches the Rfam family "Bacterial small subunit ribosomal RNA", at positions 29 to 412 of the family's 1533-position model. The record is from RNAcentral.
AGCGAACGCUGGCGGCAGGCUUAACACAUGCAAGUCGAACGGGCACUUCGGUGUCAGUGGCAGACGGGUGAGUAACGCGUGGGAACAUACCUCUUGGUUCGGAACAACACAGGGAAACUUGUGCUAAUACCGGAUAAGCCCUUACGGGGAAAGAUUUAUCGCCGAGAGAUUGGCCCCGCGUCUGAUUAGCUAGUUGGUGUGGUAAAAGCGCACCAAGGCGACGAUCAGUAGCUGGCUGAGAGGAUGAUCAGCCACAUUGGGACUGAGACACGGCCCAAACUCCUACGGGAGGCAGCAGUGGGGAAUAUUGGACAAUGGCGCAAGCCUGAUCCAGCCAUGCCGCGUGAGUGAUGAA